Callithrix jacchus (white-tufted-ear marmoset) is the source of this 267-nucleotide unclassified non-coding RNA. It matches the Rfam family "Metazoan signal recognition particle RNA". Rfam says of the family: The signal recognition particle (SRP) is a universally conserved ribonucleoprotein. It is involved in the co-translational targeting of proteins to membranes. The record is from Ensembl. Lineage: Eukaryota; Metazoa; Chordata; Mammalia; Primates; Cebidae.
GCUGGGCAUGGUGGCGCGUGCCUGUAAUCCCAGCUACUCGGGAGGCUGAGGCAGGAGAAUUGCCUGAACCCAGGAGGCGGAGGUUGCGGUGAGCCGAGAUCGCGCCAUUGCACCAGCCUGGGUAACAAGAGCGAAACUCUGUCUCAAAAAGAAAGAAAGAAAGAAAGAAAGAAAUGUUUUUCCUGUUAUCCUGGCUGGAGUGCAGUGGCACGAUCACAGCUCACUGCAGUCUUUACCUCCUGGGCUUAAUUGGUCCUCCUGCCUCAG